UCUGCCUGUUUAUCAAAAACAUGUCUAUAAGAAGUUUUUUAUAGUUCUGGCCUGCCCACUGAUAAUUUAAAUUAAAGGGCCGCGGUAUUUUGACCGUGCGAAGGUAGCAUAAUAAUUAGUCUCCUAAUUAGAGGCAUUGUAUGAAUGGUCGGACAAGAAUGGGAACUGUCUCAAUAUAAAAAAUAAAAUUUAAUAAUUAAGUAAAAAAGCUUAAAUUAAACAGAGUGACGAUAAGACCCUAUGAAAGCUUUAUGAGUGUGCUUCUUUUAUAUGUAAAAUGAAUUUAAUAUUAACAUAUUAAAGAAAUCACAUUAUUUUACUGGGGCGGUAAAAGUAUAAAUGAUUAACUGCUUUUGUUAUGCAAAACAAUGAUAAUUGGUAUGUAAAUUGAUCCAUUAAUAAUGAUUAUAAAAACAAGUUACUUUAGGGAUAACAGCGUAAUUUUUCUUGAGAGUCCUUAUCGAAAGAAAAGUUUGCGACCUCGAUGUUGAAUUAAGGGUUACCUUAAGGUGCAGCAGGUUUUAAAGGUAGAUCUGUUCGAUCUUUAAACCCUUACAUGAUUUGAGUUCAUCCCGAGCGUGAGCCAGGUUGGUUUCUAUCUUCUGUUAAAUUUAAACUUAUUUUAGUACGAAAGGAUUUGGUAAGUCAAAAACUUUGUUGUUAAUGAAUUAAAUU
Molecule: ribosomal RNA, 675 nt
Filed under: Pseudosquilla ciliata
Lineage: Eukaryota; Metazoa; Arthropoda; Malacostraca; Stomatopoda; Pseudosquillidae
Description: partial 16S ribosomal RNA
Rfam family: Bacterial large subunit ribosomal RNA
Source: RNAcentral